GUGGAUUAGAUACCCUGGUAGUCCACGCUGUAAACGAUGUCAACUGGGUGUCGGUAGUUUUACACUAUCGGUGCCGAAGCUAACGCGUUAAGUUGACCGCCUGGGGACUACGGCCGCAAGGCUAAAACUCAACGGAAUUGACGGGGGCCCGCACAAGCAGCGGAGCGUGUGGUUUAAUUCGAUGCAACACGAAGAACCUUACCCAGGUUUGACAUGGUCGUAGUAGUGAACCGAAAGGGGAACGAGCCUUCGGGCAGCGAUCACAGGUGCUGCACGGCCGUCGUCAACU
Molecule: ribosomal RNA, 289 nt
Filed under: uncultured bacterium
Lineage: Bacteria
Description: partial 16S ribosomal RNA
Rfam family: Bacterial small subunit ribosomal RNA
Source: RNAcentral